AUACGGAGGGUGCAAGCGUUAUUGGAAUCACUGGGCGUAAAGGACGCGUAGGCGGGUUGGCAAGUCAGAUGUGAAAUCCUACAGCUUAACUGUAGAACUGCAUUUGAAACUGCUAACCUAGAGUAUGGGAGGGGGAGAUGGAAUUAGUGGUGUAGGGGUAAAAUCCGUAGAUAUCACUAGGAAUACCGAAAGCGAAGGCGAUCUCCUGGAACAUAACUGACGCUAAGGCGUGAAAGCGUGGGGAGCAAACAGGAUUAGAAACCCCAGUAGUCC
RNAcentral lists this ribosomal RNA (273 nucleotides) under uncultured bacterium. RNAcentral's name for it is "partial 16S ribosomal RNA". It matches the Rfam family "Bacterial small subunit ribosomal RNA", at positions 523 to 796 of the family's 1533-position model. The record is from RNAcentral.